AGCGAACGCUGGCGGCAGGCCUAACACAUGCAAGUCGAACGAUCCUUCGGGAUAGUGGCGGACGGGUGAGUAACACGUGGGAACGUACCUUUAGGUUCGGGAUAACUCAGGGAAACUUGAGCUAAUACCGGAUGUGCCCUUUUGGGGGAAGAUUUAUCGCCUUUAGAGCGGCCCGCGUUAGAUUAGCCAGUUGGUGAGGUAAAGGCUCACCAAGGCUCCGAUCUAUAGCUGGUCUGAGAGGAUGAUCAGCCACACUGGGACUGAGACACGGCCCAGACUCCUACGGGAGGCAGCAGUGGGGAAUCUUGCGCAAUGGGCGAAAGCCUGACGCAGCCAUGCCGCGUGAAUGAUGAAGGUCUUAGGAUUGUAAAAUUCUUUUAGCAGGGACGAUAAUGACGGUACCUGCAGAAAAAGCCCCGGCUAACUUCGUGCCAGCAGCCGCCGUAA
RNAcentral lists this ribosomal RNA (447 nucleotides) under uncultured bacterium. RNAcentral's name for it is "partial 16S ribosomal RNA". It matches the Rfam family "Bacterial small subunit ribosomal RNA", at positions 29 to 523 of the family's 1533-position model. The record is from RNAcentral.